RNAcentral lists this transfer RNA (82 nucleotides) under Dreissena polymorpha. It matches the Rfam family "tRNA". Rfam says of the family: Transfer RNA (tRNA) molecules are approximately 80 nucleotides in length. Their secondary structure includes four short double-helical elements and three loops (D, anti-codon, and T loops). The record is from Rfam by way of RNAcentral. Lineage: Eukaryota; Metazoa; Mollusca; Bivalvia; Myida; Dreissenidae.
GUUGUCGUGGCCGAGUGGUUAAGGCAAUGGACUACAAAUCUUUCGGGAUCUUCCCGCGCAGGUUCGAAUCCAGCCGACAUCG